GUCGUGAGCAACUCCGGUACGUUUGUGCUUUCCUUAAGCAAAGCCAGUCUUUUCUCCGGUUGAUCAAGAGUUUCUCUCGCAAAUACGACUCUGGUAAAUCGGAAGUGAUGGAAUUUUCCUAUACCUCUGGGUGGUUUGAAAUAAUUAGUGAAGAAAUUAUCCCAUCUGUACCACUUUAAGCUGUGUUCGUCAUCGUCAUUUUCAUUAUAAACUUCUGACCUACUGUGAAAGUACUUUUAUUCGUGGGGUACCAAUUUUCGUGGUUUUCGUGGAUGACUUUAUCCACGAAUUUAAGUGUCCAACGAAAUAAAACAACCAUUGUCCAAAUCAAGACAUGGAAAGAUCCCAUCGGUAGGUUUGACCACUGAUAUGAUCUAGAGAAUAUAUUGAAUAACGCCAAAUCUGAGAAUACAUUAAUAGCAGUCACAGAACUACAACCGCAUGCAGAAUUAUACCCAUUUAAUCUUUAAUAACCUAAACUGUACAACUUUUAAUCUUUUUAUUCUCAUAAAACAUAUUGUUGAUCGACGAAAGUCAGAUUUCCGGUAUUGAUAUGCUAGUAUGAUAAAGUGUUCAUUUUAUAUCCUCAUAGUUCUCCUACAUGUGGGAAAUAAUAAUUUCAAGCUGGGCUUGAUUUUGAUAAGAAUUAUUUGACAAUUCAAGAUACGUUUAAACCAUUUAUUUAUGUUACUGUUUCUUUUAGGUGACAUGUUUAUGGCCUAAUCAACACCUUUGAUGGUCUUUAAUCUGUUGAUCACUUUAUCAUAGGUUAAUUAGUGUUAUCACUACGAUUUACACGGUCAAUGUUUACUUUGCAAUUUCCUUCAAUCAAGAC
Molecule: long non-coding RNA, 835 nt
Filed under: Mytilus galloprovincialis (Mediterranean mussel)
Lineage: Eukaryota; Metazoa; Mollusca; Bivalvia; Mytilida; Mytilidae
Source: RNAcentral